GUGGGUAGUUUGACUGGGGCGGUCUCCUCCCAAAGAGUAACGGAGGAGCACGAAGGUUAGCUAAUCCUGGUCGGACAUCAGGAGGUUAGUGCAAUGGCAUAAGCUAGCUUGACUGCGAGCGUGACGGCGCGAGCAGGUGCGAAAGCAGGUCAUAGUGAUCCGGUGGUUCUGAAUGGAAGGGCCAUCGCUCAACGGAUAAAAGGUACUCCGGGGAUAACAGGCUGAUACCGCCCAAGAGUUCAUAUCGACGGCGGUGUUUGGCACCUCGAUGUCGGCUCAUCACAUCCUGGGGCUGAAGUAGGUCCCAAGGGUAUGGCUGUUCGCCAUUUAAAGUGGUACGCGAGCUGGGUUUAGAACGUCGUGAGACAGUUCGGUCCCUAUCUGCCGUGGGCGCUGGAGAAUUGAGGGGGGCUGCUCCUAGUACGAGAGGACCGGAGUGGACGCAUCACUGGUGUUCGGGUUGUCAUGCCAAUGGCAUUGCCCGGUAGCUAAAUGCGGAAGAGAUAAGUGCUGAAAGCAUCUAAGCACGAAACUUGCCCCGAGAUGAGUUCUCCCUGAGACUUUAAGU
This 568-nucleotide ribosomal RNA is filed under the name Klebsiella aerogenes. RNAcentral describes it as "partial 23S ribosomal RNA". It matches the Rfam family "Bacterial large subunit ribosomal RNA", at positions 2261 to 2833 of the family's 2925-position model. The record is from RNAcentral. Lineage: Bacteria; Pseudomonadati; Pseudomonadota; Gammaproteobacteria; Enterobacterales; Enterobacteriaceae.